This 248-nucleotide unclassified non-coding RNA is filed under the name Rhizophagus sp. (in: glomeromycetes). Its description in RNAcentral is "partial contains 5.8S ribosomal RNA and internal transcribed spacer 2". The stretch from base 1 to 65 matches the Rfam family "5.8S ribosomal RNA", at positions 84 to 154 of the family's 154-position model. The record is from RNAcentral. Lineage: Eukaryota; Fungi; Glomeromycota; Glomeromycetes; Glomerales; Glomeraceae.
GUGAAUCAUCAAAUUUUUGAACGCAAAUUGCACUCUCUUCGGAGAGUAUGCCUGUUUGAGGGUCAGUAUCAAUAUAAACAGGUAUGUUGCUUCUUUGUGACGCUCCGGAGUAUGGGUCAUCUUAAUAUUCUUUAGGUUUUAAGAGGCUUAAAUUUGACUUUUUUUGUUCAUUUUAGAGGUACAUAAAUUCUUUUUUUUAUUCUUCUUUCUUAAUGCUCUUAAUCCUAUAAGAUGCGACCAUAUCGUGA